RNAcentral lists this ribosomal RNA (177 nucleotides) under uncultured bacterium. Its description in RNAcentral is "partial 16S ribosomal RNA". It matches the Rfam family "Bacterial small subunit ribosomal RNA", at positions 1323 to 1500 of the family's 1533-position model. The record is from RNAcentral.
AAGCUGGAAUUGCCAGUAAUGGCAGGUCAGCAUACUGCCGUGAAUACGUUCCCGGGCCUUGUACACACCGCCCGUCACACCAUGAGAGUUGGAAAUACCCGAAGCCUGUGAGCUAACUUAAAGAGGCAGCAGUCGAAGGUAGAGCCAAUGAUUGGGGUGAAGUCGUAACAAGGUAAC